This 465-nucleotide ribosomal RNA is filed under the name uncultured bacterium. RNAcentral describes it as "bacterial SSU rRNA". It matches the Rfam family "Bacterial small subunit ribosomal RNA", at positions 338 to 795 of the family's 1533-position model. The record is from RNAcentral.
CCUACGGGUGGCACCAGUGGGGAAUAUUACACAAUGGGCGCAAGCCUGAUGCAGCCAUGCCGCGUGUAUGAAGAAGGCCUUCGGGUUGUAAAGUACUUUCAGCGGGGAGGAAGGUGUUGAGGUUAAUAACCACAGCAAAUGACGUUACCCGCAGAAGAAGCACCGGCUAACUCCGUGCCAGCAGCCGCGGUAAUACGGAGGGUGCAAGCGUUAAUCGGAAUUACUGGGCGUAAAGCGCACGCAGGCGGUCUGUCAAGUCGGAUGUGAAAUCCCCGGGCUCAACCUGGGAACUGCAUUCGAAACUGGCAGGCUAGAGUCUUGUAGAGGGGGGUAGAAUUCCAGGUGUAGCGGUGAAAUGCGUAGAGAUCUGGAGGAAUACCGGUGGCGAAGGCGGCCCCCUGGACAAAGACUGACGCUCAGGUGCGAAAGCGUGGGGAGCAAACAGGAUUAGAUACCCGUGUAGUC